GACGAACGCUGGCGGCGUGCUUAACACAUGCAAGUCGAACGGAAAGGCCCUGCUUUUGUGGGGUGCUCGAGUGGCGAACGGGUGAGUAACACGUGAGUAACCUGCCCUUGACUUUGGGAUAACUUCAGGAAACUGGGGCUAAUACCGGAUAGGAGCUCCUGCUGCAUGGUGGGGGUUGGAAAGUUUCGGCGGUUGGGGAUGGACUCGCGGCUUAUCAGCUUGUUGGUGGGGUAGUGGCUUACCAAGGCUUUGACGGGUAGCCGGCCUGAGAGGGUGACCGGCAACAUUGGGACUGAGAUACGGCCCAGACUCCUCCGGGAGGCAGCAGUGGGGAAUAUUGCACAAUGGGCGGAGGCCUGAUGCAGCAACGCCGCGUGCGGGAUGACGGCCUUCGGGUUGUAAACCGCUUUCGCCUGUGACGAAGCGUGAGUGACGGUAAUGGGUAAAGAAGCACCGGCUAACUACGU
Molecule: ribosomal RNA, 467 nt
Filed under: uncultured bacterium
Lineage: Bacteria
Description: partial 16S ribosomal RNA
Rfam family: Bacterial small subunit ribosomal RNA
Source: RNAcentral